GCUCAUGACUUUGCACUUCAGUGUUUCAAUUAGAAGCGGUCUCCUCUUGUUACAGACCGAAUGCGCCGUUAUUAGUCGCGAUAUGAACGUCGAAGUGAUCGGACUCAUAUGAACGCAGAGACUCGUAUUUCGAACACCGUAUCGGCUUCAGCACACGUGUGACGAUAAAUCAUUUUUCGCUUAAGUUGCAAAAUUUUGCACGCGUUAUUCUCUACUGAGGGCUUAUUAGAACUCAACACUUACUCUGCGCUAAUUAAUAUUAAAGCAAUAAAGUUAGAACUUGAUUUGUGAAUAAUUAAACAUUUCGGCUUUGGCCUAUUAGCAAAAUUCCAACAAUAGUCGCAGGUGAUUCUGAAAAUUCGUGUAAUAUAGAACGCGCCUAAAAUGAAGAGUUCUACUGGUAUCUACAGUGUACUUCGGUAUACGAAAUCAUUAAUAUUUGUGAUAUCAAUAUCGGUAGCCUUAUUCACACAAACAACCGCAGAUGAACGAUUCACACGAAGCUCUAACCGAAGCGGGUUAACCGUAUCCACACAUGAUCUCACAAUUAUAGUAAAAAACACAAAAACAUUUGACGUUCUAAUCAGGGAUCCAUUGGAACAGGACGUAUUUGUCCAAUUGGUAAAACAACAUGAGACUUUAGUAGAAUUGGACCCUAACUACUUCACAAUUAGUGCAUCGAAUCCACAAAAUAGAACAGUUAGCGUACGAGGACUCCAACUUGGACACCUAGAAGUUACAGCGACGAGCUUACCCGACGAGUCUUGGAUUGUUGACGAUUUAUUUGUACGCAUAACUGUUGCAAAGUCGGAGCCGAUUAUUUACACAUCAAUCGUGUUCGGUUGGAUUUAUUUUGUGGCCUGGUCCAUCUCGUUCUAUCCGCAGAUUUUCAUUAAUUUUAGACGAAAAUCUGUAAUUGGACUCAAUUUUGACUUUCUAGCACUCAACAUUGUUGGUUUUACACUAUAUAGUGUUUUCAAUUGUGGCCUCUAUUGGGUACCCAGCAUACAGGACGAAUAUGCCAGUCGACAUCCACGUGGUAUGAAUCCAGUUUUAUUGAAUGAUGUCGUAUUCGGUUUACAUGCGAUGUUUGCGACAGCCAUUACAAUUAUCCAGUGCUUUUUAUAUGAGCGCGCCGAACAAAGAGUCUCCAGAAUCGCGUCAGGUAUAUUAGCCGCAAUCGCGAUAAUUGUUUUGGUUACAUUAAUUCUAGCCAUUACUGGUGUUGUGCAGUGGCUGGAUUUUCUAUACUACUGCAGCUACAUUAAACUGGCGAUGAUCAUCAAAUAUGUGCCCCAGGCGCUGAUGAACUAUCGCCGUAAGAGCACUACUGGCUGGAGUAUUGGUAAUAUUCUGUUGGAUUUCACUGGCGGUUUGCUCAGCAUGUUGCAGAUGAUCUUGAACGCAUACAAUUAUAACGAUUGGGUGUCAAUUUUCGGUUCUGUGACGAAAUUCGGCAUGGGUCUAUUCUCCGUGCUCUUCGAUGUGUUAUUUAUUCUUCAACACUAUGUGUUUUACAGUGUUGGCCACACAUUAUUCAUCCAUCAAAAUUAACAUACUUAUGUACACGCACGUGUGAUAUCACAAAAGCAUAGGCAAACAGAUAAAUCAAAGUUUGUUCAAGGCAAAAGUUCAAUAAUUCCUUUAAAAUGGCAAAGCCAACUGAACCCACAGCUCCAUCAAUUCCAUACUACAAACAUACACACAUUGAAGCACCUGCAUACUCAUACCUUUAUAAACGCACUCCCAGCAGCUUUCCAUCUCUACGACUACUAACGCCACAGAAGUGGUUACAGAUAAAGCUG
Molecule: unclassified non-coding RNA, 1805 nt
Filed under: Bactrocera tryoni
Lineage: Eukaryota; Metazoa; Arthropoda; Insecta; Diptera; Tephritidae
Description: cystinosin homolog, transcript variant X3
Source: RNAcentral